UCUUCCCGUUGUUGUAGCUUGGUAUUUAUAGAUAUAUGCAUACCUAAGUCGUGGAAACCAAUUCCAAUUGCACUAUGACUCUGAGUCUCUAUUUGUUGCCGACGACCACACACUUAUCACAUCAAUCAAAACUUGACCCCAUAUUUUCCAUCCUGACCUUCCAAUAUAACCUUUUCGAAGACUCAACCCAAUUGCGUCAUCACCAUGCAAUAUAUUUGUCUAGAUUCAUAGCAUCCUGCCAAGGAUAUUCAGUGGUUCCAUUUAUUCCGCCACCACAUCAUGAUCUCUAUCCAAUCCAUGCAUUGAUUUCGGCAUGCAUGGAUUUCACCUUUAUCCUGAACCAAAAUAUAUGAUGAGGCCACGUGCUUGCUUGAUGACAUAUAUUGAAUCUUAAACGUAACUCUAGGCCACGUGGGCUUUUCUGCCAAAACGUUGCAUGCAUGCUCCAUACACUUUUAUUAACUCAAAUGGAUAAUCACAAACCACCCAAUUCAAUUGUGAUUCAACCUAAUCUCCAUGUGAUGCAUGCUUUUCAAAUCAGAUAGACUAGCUCAAUCCAUUAUCCAAGCAAAAAGGCAUGACUUUGUAAACUUCCACAACUCUCGCACCAUGUUAAUCCCAUUUCAUCCGAUAUCCUUAGACUCAAAAAAUCUCUCUUAAGAUAAUUACCAUAAUUAAAAUUAAUAGUAAUAUCAAGAAAAAAUCAGUUUAGUCUCAGAGCCAUCUAAUGGUUUUAACGCAACAGGCCGAUAGCGUAAAAUCGGAUUCAAACACUAGCACACAUAAAACUUUGUUCGAUUUAUUCAUGCCGAAACAAGAUUUGGUUUUGUUAGAUUCAAACAAAUUUGAAUGAACAACUCAAUUCACGUUCUUUUUGUCUUUGUGAAAUUGGACUUAAUCGCAUGCAAUAUCUCAAAACCUCAGUAAAGUGAAUACCUUGCACUCGUACACACGAACAGAUGAUUAAAAAAUGCAUCCUAAACAAACAACCUAAAUGCAACAAUCCCAGGACUUCUGGAAUCAAGAACAACCCAAAAACCAAAAACUCAGACUUCCAAAAUCUGAAAGAAAAAAAAAAUCCAGAAGGGCAAUACAUUCAAACCUAGAAAACCAACCCUAAACACACAAAAAACCCAAUUGAAACACCAAUUAAAAUUGAAAAAAACGACAACCCAAUACACAGAACAUGAUCAUAGUUCUUAAAUGACAAAUGAACAAUAUUAGUAAAAGCAUUACAAACCGUCUAUGUAUUUGCUACAAUAGAUUGACUAAAUGACUUUAUUUUUAAUUUAUUUUGUGCAGAGAUGAUCAUUACAGUAUGAUUCAUUGUAUGAACGGUUCUAAUCAUAAACACAAAACUCUGUGAUUAAAACUUCAUAUUCAUACUCAUAUUUGAAUAAUCAGUAUGGUUGACUUACACAUGAGAGUAUUAAAAGAAGCAGGUUGGUGGUUCCACCGAAAGAAAGGAAAAACAAUUCACUUCUUUUAUGCUAAAGUUAAUCUGCAUGCGGAGGUGUCUUCCACUUUUCAAAGGGAAAACACACAAUGGAGCUGAUUAAAUAAUACAAUUGGCACAAUUCCUCCACCGAUUCAAAGUGUCCCACAUGUGCCACUUUGAGGACAUUUUAGCACAAUUGCACAAUAAUCCCCCAAAAUGCCAUAAUUUGGGUUUAAACCCAAAUAAGUAUAACGUGCACAUUUUAGGUACAAACAACUUGAGUUGAAGUUUCUAGCACCAUCAAUUGCUUUCUUAGGUAAUUAUGGUUCUAAAAGACUUUAGGCACUAGUCGAACGAUGAACUUCGUCUAGCGCUUAAGUGGAUUUGUAUUUUUAAAACAAAUUUGUUAUAUAACAUACAAAUAAGUGCAUGCUUAUACUUAAAAUUAAAUAAAAUUUAAAAAAAAAUGCAUAACAUACAAAAAUAAAUAUUUAUUACAAAAUAUGGACAUUGUGUAAACUUUUAGGGUUUUUUUUAAAGGAAAACUAAUGAAAAAGACUUGAAAACUUUGAGUUUUAACGAUAAAGACAAAAUAAAAGGUAAAGUGAAUAGUACCAUGUUUGACUUUUUAGUGUAA
RNAcentral lists this long non-coding RNA (2075 nucleotides) under Malus domestica (apple). Its description in RNAcentral is "long non-coding RNA (MDOM_LNC014619)". Lineage: Eukaryota; Viridiplantae; Streptophyta; Magnoliopsida; Rosales; Rosaceae. The record is from RNAcentral.